ACGUGUUACAACGUACCUACCGAAUGUAUUAUUGUAUAAAAUGGAUGAAUAUUAUAAUAGUAUUGAAGUGUGUUAAAUAACAAAUGUGUUAUUUGGUAGUUGUGUAAUUUGAAUAUGUUGAAGUAUAUAAGUUAUUAUAUAUUGAAUAAUCAAAUGAGCAGAUCUUGGUGGUAGUAACAUAAUAAUUUGUAUUUAUAGAGAUUAGGGUUGUCAUUAUGAUGACGUGAGACGGUGUUAUAAUAAAACGAAUAGUAUUAAUAUUUUAUUAUCUUAUUUAUUGAGUGGUGACACAAAUAUGGACUAUUAUUGUAAAAAGUUAUAAUAUAAAUGAGUUAUAAUUUGUAUAUGAUGUGAUAGUUGUUAUAAGAUCAUCAUUUGAAUAAUAAUAUGUUAAAAAAGAAAUAAAUAAACCGUACCUAUACCGCAUCAGGUGUCUCUGUUUUAUAACAAAUAUAUAUAAAGUAAUCUAAGUAAGGGAAUUCGGCAAAAUAGAUCUGUAACUUUGGGAUAAAGAUUGGCUCUAGCAUGCUAGAACUUUUUAUAUUAUGAGAGGAAUCUGACUGUUUAAUAAAAACAUAGCUUUAUGAUAAUGUAAAGUGAAUUCUGCCCAGUGUAUUUAUUAGUUAAAAUCGAAUAAGCAUAUAUAAACGGCGGGAGUAACUAUGACUCUCUUAAGGUAGCCAAAUGCCUCGUCAUUUAAUUGGUGACGCGCAUGAAUGGAGCAACGAGAUUCCUACUGUCCCUAUUUAGAGCUAUGUGAAGCAACGAGACAAGGGAACGGGCUUGUUAUUUAUCAGCGGGGAAAGAAGACCCUGUUGAGCUUUACUCUAGUAUAUUUCAAUUUGUAUAUAUUAUAUUGUAGAGAGGUGGGAGAUGUAAUGUGAAACCACUAAUAUUAAUAUUAUAUGAAUUUAUUGUAAUUAUAUGGGGAGUUUGGCUGGGGCGGUACAACUGUUAUAAAGAAACACAGUUGUCCUAAGAUACAAUUAAUUAGGAUAGAAACCUAAUGUUCAAUAUAAGGGUAUAAGUGUGUCUGAUGUAUAGAACAAUAGUUUUAUAUGAUGGGAAACCAUGGCCUAAAGAUCCUCCAAUAAUAAUUUUAUUUGAUUGGAGGUGACAGAAAAGUUACCACAGGGAUAACUGGCUUGUAGCAAAUGAGCGAUCAUAGCGACUUUGCUUUUUGAUUCUUCGAUGUCGUCUCUUCUGAUCAUCGUAGUGUAUAUGUUACGAAGUGUUGGAUUGUUCACCCGUUAAUGAGGAA
RNAcentral lists this ribosomal RNA (1261 nucleotides) under Nosema rachiplusiae. Its description in RNAcentral is "LSU rRNA". It matches the Rfam family "Eukaryotic large subunit ribosomal RNA", at positions 1278 to 2950 of the family's 3401-position model. The record is from RNAcentral. Lineage: Eukaryota; Fungi; Microsporidia; Nosematidae.